UUUAUAACACCAAAAACCUUCUAAUUUAGGGAAGUUGAAAUUUAUAUUGAAGGAGGGGUUUUGAAGGUUUUAGAGGGCUUAUAUAAAUUUUAAAAAUAUAAUUUACAUUGUUAUAAUAUUCGAAAAAUUAAAAAUAUAGUAAUGAUAUACACUCUUUUAUUAUUCUAUUCAAAAUCAUUUUUUUUAAAUAUCAAAUAUUUUCUUAUAAUUUUUUAAAAAUUCGUUUUCGAAAACCUUCCCCUUCCCUCCUCUCCAAACUCCCAAACAUAGUCUUAAACUCCUUGUUUUAAAAAGAAUUAACAGAUCUAAUGUAAGUUUGCAAUAAAAUAAAAUUUUGUUAACCCCAACAAGAAAUCAAAGUUUAAAAAUUAAAAACCAAUCAAAAUUUAAAAUGAGAAACAAAGUUAUGAUGUUAGAGUUUAAAAAGAAGUUGAAAACCAGCCAAUAGACGGAAGAAUCAUAAUUUACUAAUUUAUGAGAAAAAAGCAUGUGAGUGCAUGGGUGGUUGACCAUAUGGAUGUAUAAACGUGCGCGCACACGUGAGAGAGAAUAUUUUAAAAUGAGGCCCUCCAAUUUAAGAGAUUUUUGUACAAAAGGUUAAUUUGUUUUUAUAAUUUAAGAGAGAAUAUUGUUAAUUAUUCUUACCUAUAAUAUUUCGUGGGCUAACCAUUUAUUGUUCCUUUUCUAUCAGGAAAGUUAACAGAAAAAUCAAUAUUAAAUUGGAUACAAAUAUUGAUUCUUAUUAUUAUACAAUAUUUUAAGUGACCUAUUUACUAAGUAUGAUUAAGGAACAAUACAAUCUAUUAAUUCUCUUAGGAGACAUUAGUUUAAUUAUUUUUUUAUAUGAAGAGCUUAAGCUUUAUACAUUAUAAAAUGAUCAAAUAUUAUUCUAUCUAUCUACACAUCAAAAGAGAAAAAUAAAAUGAGUGCAAUUCUCAAGUUUAUGUACAUCGUGUUUAUAUAUCUUUUCCUAUUUAUUAUUGCAAAGACCAUUGAUGCCCGUCCCGAAUGUUUUGAUGAUUCUGAUUGUAAAAAGUGUGAAAUGCACAAAGUAUCGUGUAUUCGUGGUAUGUGUAAAUGUAUUGUGGGAUAUCCACGUGAUUUUUGAGUAACAAAUCAAAUAGAUGACAGAGAUAUUUGGAUUUUUGAAUGAAUGAAUAAGUAAUGUAUCUAAACAAGAAUUUAUGUUAUAUUGUAUUCUAAGACAAUAAAAAUAUAAAUAAAUAAGACAAGAAAAAGUAUUAAUAUUGUCA
Long non-coding RNA from Vicia villosa (hairy vetch), 1253 nucleotides. RefSeq lists it as uncharacterized. The record is from RefSeq and is a predicted model, not a curated record. The transcript is spliced from 2 exons. Lineage: Eukaryota; Viridiplantae; Streptophyta; Magnoliopsida; Fabales; Fabaceae.